UACGAAGGGGGCUAGCGUUGCUCGGAAUUACUGGGCGUAAAGGGCGCGUAGGCGGCUCGCGAGGUCGGGGGUGAAAUCCCACGGCUUAACCGUGGAAGUGCCUUCGAUACCGGCGGGCUGGAGGAAGGUAGGGGUGCGCGGAACUUCUGGUGGAGCGGUGAAAUGCGUUGAUAUCAGAAGGAACGCCGGCGGCGAAAGCGGCGCACUGGACCUUUUCUGACGCUGAGGCGCGAAAGCCAGGGGAGCAAACGGG
Molecule: ribosomal RNA, 253 nt
Filed under: uncultured bacterium
Lineage: Bacteria
Description: partial 16S ribosomal RNA
Rfam family: Bacterial small subunit ribosomal RNA
Source: RNAcentral